UCCUGUGUUGCUUACCAAUGAAAUGGAAUUUGAUAGUCAUGUUAUACGGAUUCGCCUUGUGCUCUUUGGGGUGCGAGGUGGACAUGCGGUGAGCACUGUGUUCCUAACAUACCAAGUGCAUUGGUGUUUGGUUGUUGUGGCCCAUGGUGUCUUUGCUUGUUCUCUCGGAUGCGGAAAGCUAAGUGUGGGUGUAAGGUCUCGGCCUUGAAUCGUCCUAGCACUGUCUUUUGACUCGAAUGACUGCCGUGCCUGUCUUGAUCUUCCCGACCAAGGCCUCGUAAUGGGGCUUACUGGACGAGGGUGGAUCACGCAGGUGUUGGCGUUAAAGAGGAAAGCUAC
RNAcentral lists this unclassified non-coding RNA (339 nucleotides) under Melicope rostrata. RNAcentral describes it as "contains 5' external transcribed spacer, ETS". Lineage: Eukaryota; Viridiplantae; Streptophyta; Magnoliopsida; Sapindales; Rutaceae. The record is from RNAcentral.